This 422-nucleotide ribosomal RNA is filed under the name uncultured bacterium. RNAcentral describes it as "bacterial SSU rRNA". It matches the Rfam family "Bacterial small subunit ribosomal RNA", at positions 355 to 774 of the family's 1533-position model. The record is from RNAcentral.
UGAGGAAUAUUGGGCAAUGCCCGCAAGGGUGACCCAGCAACGCCGCGUGGAGGAUGAAUGUCGUAAGAUUGUAAACUCCUGUUAGAGGGGAAGAAUAGUACCGGUUGGACCGGUAUAUGACUGUACCCUCAGAGAAAGCCCCGGCUAACUACGUGCCAGCAGCCGCGGUAAUACGUAGGGGGCAAGCGUUGUCCGGAUUUACUGGGUGUAAAGGGCGCGCAGGCGGGAUAAAAAGUCAGUGGUGAAAUCCUACAGCUUAACUGUAGAACUGCCUUUGAUACUUUUACUCUUGAGUUCGGGAGAGAGAGACGGAAUUCCAGGUGUAGUGGUGAAAUACGUAGAUGUCUGGAAGAACACCAGUUGCGAAGGCGGUCUCUUGGUCCGACACUGACGCUGAGGCGCGAAAGCGUGGGGAGCAAACA